This 292-nucleotide ribosomal RNA is filed under the name uncultured bacterium. RNAcentral's name for it is "partial 16S ribosomal RNA". It matches the Rfam family "Archaeal small subunit ribosomal RNA", at positions 455 to 747 of the family's 1478-position model. The record is from RNAcentral.
GUGCCAGCCGCGCGGUAAUACCGGCAGCCCGAGUGAUGGCCGAUCUUAUUGGGCCUAAAGCGUCCGUAGCUGGCCGCGCAAGUCCAUCGGAAAAUCCACCCGCCCAACGGGUGGGCGUCCGGUGGAAACUGUGUGGCUUGGGACCGGAAGGCGCGACGGGUACGUCCGGGGUAGGAGUGAAAUCCUGUAAUCCUGGACGGACCGCCGAUGGGGAAACCACCUCAGGAGAACGGAUCCGACAGUGAGGGACGAAAGCCAGGGUCUCGAACCGGAUUAGAAACCCUUGUAGUCC